CGGCGGGAACAGACGGCCCUGUAACAACGGGCCGCCCCCGCCAGAGGACCCCUAACUCUGUUUUUAUAAUGUUUUUCUGAGUAAACAAGCAAAUAAAUUAAAACUUUCAACAACGGAUCUCUUGGCUCUGGCAUCGAUGAAGAACGCAGCGAAAUGCGAUAAGUAAUGUGAAUUGCAGAAUUCAGUGAAUCAUCGAAUCUUUGAACGCACAUUGCGCCCGCCAGUAUUCUGGCGGGCAUGCCUGUUCGAGCGUCAUUACAACCCUCAGGCCCCCGGGCCUGGCGUUGGGGAUCGGCAGAAGCCCCCUGUGGGCACACGCCGUCCCUCAAAUACAGUGGCGGUCCCGCCGCAGCUUCCAUUGCGUAGUAGCUAACACCUCGCAACUGGAGAGCGGCGCGGCCAUGCCGUAAAACACCCAACUUCUGAAUGUUGACCUCGAAUCAGGUAGGAAUACCCGCUGAACUUAAGCAU
This 471-nucleotide ribosomal RNA is filed under the name Fusarium solani. RNAcentral's name for it is "eukaryotic LSU rRNA". The stretch from base 102 to 255 matches the Rfam family "5.8S ribosomal RNA". The record is from RNAcentral. Lineage: Eukaryota; Fungi; Ascomycota; Sordariomycetes; Hypocreales; Nectriaceae.